UACGUAGGGUGCGAGCGUUAAUCGGAAUUACUGGGCGUAAAGUGUGCGCAGGCGGCAGAGCAAGUCGAGUGUGAAAGCCCCGGGCUUAACCUGGGAACUGCGUUUGAAACUGGGAGACUUGAGUGUGGCAGAGGGGGGUGGAAUUCCACGUGUAGCAGUGAAAUGCGUAGAUAUGUGGAGGAACACCGAUGGCGAAGGCAGCCCCCUGGGUUAACACUGACGCUCAUGCACGAAAGCGUGGGGAGCAAACAGG
Molecule: ribosomal RNA, 253 nt
Filed under: uncultured bacterium
Lineage: Bacteria
Description: partial 16S ribosomal RNA
Rfam family: Bacterial small subunit ribosomal RNA
Source: RNAcentral